ACUGGCGCACGGGUGAGUAACGCGUGGAAAUCUACCCCGGGGUGGGGGAUAACCGCUGGAAACGGCGGCUAAUACCGCAUGUCCCUUGAGAGGGAAAGCCUUCGGGCGCCUUGGGAUGAGCCCGCGUUGGAUUAGCUAGUUGGUGGGGUAAGAGCCCACCAAGGCGUCGAUCCAUAGCUGGUCUGAGAGGAUGAUCAGCCACACUGGGACUGAGACACGGCCCAGACUCCUACGGGAGGCAGCAGUGGGGAAUAUUGGACAAUGGACGCAAGCCUGAUCCAGCCAUGCCGCGUGAGUGAAGAAGGCCUUAGGGUUGUAAAGCUCUUUCACCCGCGAAGAUGAUGACGGUAGCGGGAGAAGAAGCCCCGGCUAACUCCGUGCCAGCAGCCGCGGUAAUACGGAGGGGGCGAGCGU
RNAcentral lists this ribosomal RNA (414 nucleotides) under uncultured bacterium. RNAcentral's name for it is "bacterial SSU rRNA". It matches the Rfam family "Bacterial small subunit ribosomal RNA", at positions 94 to 541 of the family's 1533-position model. The record is from RNAcentral.